RNAcentral lists this ribosomal RNA (531 nucleotides) under Escherichia coli. Its description in RNAcentral is "partial 23S ribosomal RNA". It matches the Rfam family "Bacterial large subunit ribosomal RNA", at positions 419 to 951 of the family's 2925-position model. Lineage: Bacteria; Pseudomonadati; Pseudomonadota; Gammaproteobacteria; Enterobacterales; Enterobacteriaceae. The record is from RNAcentral.
GGGACACGUGGUAUCCUGUCUGAAUAUGGGGGGACCAUCCUCCAAGGCUAAAUACUCCUGACUGACCGAUAGUGAACCAGUACCGUGAGGGAAAGGCGAAAAGAACCCCGGCGAGGGGAGUGAAAAAGAACCUGAAACCGUGUACGUACAAGCAGUGGGAGCACGCUUAGGCGUGUGACUGCGUACCUUUUGUAUAAUGGGUCAGCGACUUAUAUUCUGUAGCAAGGUUAACCGAAUAGGGGAGCCGAAGGGAAACCGAGUCUUAACUGGGCGUUAAGUUGCAGGGUAUAGACCCGAAACCCGGUGAUCUAGCCAUGGGCAGGUUGAAGGUUGGGUAACACUAACUGGAGGACCGAACCGACUAAUGUUGAAAAAUUAGCGGAUGACUUGUGGCUGGGGGUGAAAGGCCAAUCAAACCGGGAGAUAGCUGGUUCUCCCCGAAAGCUAUUUAGGUAGCGCCUCGUGAAUUCAUCUCCGGGGGUAGAGCACUGUUUCGGCAAGGGGGUCAUCCCGACUUACCAACCCGAUGCA